RNAcentral lists this ribosomal RNA (402 nucleotides) under Chlorella sp. NUA-2014-3. Its description in RNAcentral is "bacterial SSU rRNA". It matches the Rfam family "Bacterial small subunit ribosomal RNA", at positions 366 to 784 of the family's 1533-position model. Lineage: Eukaryota; Viridiplantae; Chlorophyta; Trebouxiophyceae; Chlorellales; Chlorellaceae. The record is from RNAcentral.
GCGCAAUGGGCGAAAGCCUGACGGAGCAAUGCCGCGUGAAGGAUGAAGGCCUAUGGGUUGUAAACUUCUUUUCUCAGAGAAGAAAUUUUGACGGUAUCUGAGGAAUAAGCAUCGGCUAACUCUGUGCCAGCAGCCGCGGUAAGACAGAGGAUGCAAGCGUUAUCCGGAAUGAUUGGGCGUAAAGCGUCUGUAGGUGGCUUAAAAAGUCUCCUGUCAAAGAUCAGGGCUUAACCCUGGGCCGGCAGGAGAAACUCUUAGGCUAGAGUUGGUAGGGGCAGAGGGAAUUCCCGGUGGAGCGGUGAAAUGCGUAGAGAUCGGGAGGAACACCAAAGGCGAAAGCACUCUGCUGGGCCAUUACUGACACUGAGAGACGAAAGCGAGGGGAGCAAAAGGGAUUAGAUA